CUCGUAGGCGGCCAACUAAGUCAGACGUGAAAUCCCCAGGCUCAACCUGGGAACUGCGUCUGAUACUGGAUGGCUUGAAUUCGGGAGAGGGAUGCAGAAUUCCAGGUGUAGCGGUGAAAUGCGUAGAUAUCUGGAGGAAUACCGGUGGCGAAGGCGGCAUCCUGGACCGACAUUGACGCUGAGGAGCGAAAGCUAGGGGAGCAAACGGGAUUAGAUACCCCGGUAGUCCUAGCCCUAAACGAUGAAUGCUUGGUGUAACGGGUAUCGAUCCCUGUUGUGCCGAAGCUAACGCAUUAAGCAUUCCGCCUGGGGAGUACGGUCGCAAGGCUGAA
This 332-nucleotide ribosomal RNA is filed under the name uncultured Acidobacteriota bacterium. RNAcentral describes it as "bacterial SSU rRNA". It matches the Rfam family "Bacterial small subunit ribosomal RNA", at positions 568 to 898 of the family's 1533-position model. The record is from RNAcentral. Lineage: Bacteria; Pseudomonadati; Acidobacteriota.